This 252-nucleotide ribosomal RNA is filed under the name uncultured bacterium. RNAcentral's name for it is "partial 16S ribosomal RNA". It matches the Rfam family "Bacterial small subunit ribosomal RNA", at positions 526 to 776 of the family's 1533-position model. The record is from RNAcentral.
CAGAGGUGGCAAGCGUUGUUCGGAAUUACUGGGCGUAAAGGGCGCGUAGGCGGUCUCCUAAGUCUUGUGUGAAAUCCCUCGGCUCAACUGAGGAACUGCACGGGAUACUGGAUGACUUGAGUUCGGGAGAGGGAAGCGGAAUUCCGGGUGUAGCGGUGAAAUGCGUAGAUAUCCGGAGGAACACCGGUGGCGAAGGCGGCUUCCUGGACCGAUUACUGACGCUGAGGCGCGAAAGCUAGGGGAGCAAACGGG